RNAcentral lists this unclassified non-coding RNA (144 nucleotides) under soil metagenome. RNAcentral describes it as "partial internal transcribed spacer 1". The record is from RNAcentral.
CUGAGUGAGGGCCUUCGGGCUCGACCUCCAACCCUUUGUGAACACCAACUUGUUGCUUCGGGGGCGACCCUGCCGUUUCGACGGCGAGCGCCCCCGGAGACCAUCAAACACUGCAUCUUUGCGUCGGAGUUAAGUAAAUUAAAC